CUGUUGUUAAGGAACUCGGCAAAAUGACCCCGUAACUUAGGGAUAAGGGGUGCCACCAUCAGGUGGCCGCAGAGAAUAGGCCCAAGCGACUGUUUACCAAAAACAUAGGUUUCUGCUAAGUCGCAAGACGAUGUAUAGGAGCUGACGCCUGCCCGGUGCUGGAAGGUUAAGGGGAUCUGUUAGAGUAAUCGAAGCAGUGAACUUAAGCCCCAGUAAACGGCGGCCGUAACUAUAACGGUCCUAAGGUAGCGAAAUUCCUUGUCGGGUAAGUUCCGACCCGCACGAA
Molecule: ribosomal RNA, 286 nt
Filed under: Clostridioides difficile
Lineage: Bacteria; Bacillati; Bacillota; Clostridia; Peptostreptococcales; Peptostreptococcaceae
Description: partial 23S ribosomal RNA
Rfam family: Bacterial large subunit ribosomal RNA
Source: RNAcentral